GUGGUAAUGCCGGAUGUUCCACAUGAUCGCAUGUGAUUGUGGGAAAGAUUCUAUCGGCGUGGGAUGGGGUCGCGUCCUAUCAGCUUGUUGGUGAGGUAACGGCUCACCAAGGCUUCGACGGGUAGCCGGCCUGAGAGGGCGACCGGCCACAUUGGGACUGAGAUACGGCCCAGACUCCUACGGGAGGCAGCAGUGGGGAAUAUUGCACAAUGGGCGCAAGCCUGAUGCAGCGACGCCGCGUGAGGGAUGGAGGCCUUCGGGUUGUAAACCUCUUUUGUUUGGGAGCAAGCCUUCGGGUGAGUGUACCUUUCGAAUAAGCGCCGGCUAACUACGUGCCAGCAGCCGCGGUAAUACGUAGGGCGCAAGCGUUAUCCGGAUUUAUUGGGCGUAAAGGGCUCGUAGGCGGCUCGUCGCGUCCGGUGUGAAAGUCCAUCGCUUAACGGUGGAUCUGCGCCGGGUACGGGCGGGCUGGAGUGCGGUAGGGGAGACUGGAAUUCCCGGUGUAACGGUGGAAUGUGUAGAUAUCGGAAAAGAACACCA
This 540-nucleotide ribosomal RNA is filed under the name Bifidobacterium bifidum. Its description in RNAcentral is "bacterial SSU rRNA". It matches the Rfam family "Bacterial small subunit ribosomal RNA", at positions 160 to 711 of the family's 1533-position model. The record is from RNAcentral. Lineage: Bacteria; Bacillati; Actinomycetota; Actinomycetes; Bifidobacteriales; Bifidobacteriaceae.